UACGGGGGGGGCAAGCGUUGUUCGGAAUUACUGGGCGUAAAGGGCUCGUAGGCGGCCAACUAAGUCAGACGUGAAAUCCCUCAGCUUAACUGGGGAACUGCGUCUGAUACUGGAUGGCUUGAGUUUGGGAGAGGGAUGCGGAAUUCCAGGUGUAGCGGUGAAAUGCGUAGAUAUCGGGAGGAACACCAGUGGCGAAGGCGACUUCCUGGCCUGUUCUUGACGCUGAGGCGCGAAAGCUAGGGUAGCAAACGGG
Molecule: ribosomal RNA, 253 nt
Filed under: uncultured bacterium
Lineage: Bacteria
Description: partial 16S ribosomal RNA
Rfam family: Bacterial small subunit ribosomal RNA
Source: RNAcentral